GGCCCCUUCGUCUAUCGGCUAGGACGCGAGACUCUCAUUCUCGAAAGAGGGGUUCGAUUCCCCUAGGGGCUA
Molecule: transfer RNA, 72 nt
Filed under: Spirochaetaceae bacterium
Lineage: Bacteria; Pseudomonadati; Spirochaetota; Spirochaetia; Spirochaetales; Spirochaetaceae
Also listed under: 1 other name
Description: tRNA-Glu
Rfam family: tRNA
About the family: Transfer RNA (tRNA) molecules are approximately 80 nucleotides in length. Their secondary structure includes four short double-helical elements and three loops (D, anti-codon, and T loops).
Source: RNAcentral